This 198-nucleotide ribosomal RNA is filed under the name uncultured bacterium. RNAcentral describes it as "partial 16S ribosomal RNA". It matches the Rfam family "Bacterial small subunit ribosomal RNA", at positions 328 to 539 of the family's 1533-position model. The record is from RNAcentral.
ACGCUCGACACCUACGGGAGGUAGCAGUGGGGGAUAUUGCACAAUGGGGGAAACCCUGAUGCAGCAACGCCGCGUGAGGGAAGAAGGUUUUCGGAUUGUAAACCUCUGUCCUUGGUGACGAUAAUGACGGUAGCCAAGGAGGAAGCUCCGGCUAACUACGUGCCGGCAGCCGCGGUAAUCUGAGCGGGCUGGCAAGGC